RNAcentral lists this transfer RNA (73 nucleotides) under Trentepohlia odorata. RNAcentral describes it as "tRNA-Glu". It matches the Rfam family "tRNA". From Rfam's summary of the family: Transfer RNA (tRNA) molecules are approximately 80 nucleotides in length. Their secondary structure includes four short double-helical elements and three loops (D, anti-codon, and T loops). Further hydrogen bonds mediate the characteristic L-shaped molecular structure. tRNAs have two regions of fundamental functional importance: the anti-codon, which is responsible for specific mRNA codon recognition, and the 3' end, to which the tRNAs corresponding amino acid is attached (by aminoacyl-tRNA synthetases). tRNAs cope with the degeneracy of the genetic code in two manners: having more than one tRNA (with a specific anti-codon) for a particular amino acid; and 'wobble' base-pairing, i.e. permitting non-standard base-pairing at the 3rd anti-codon position. Lineage: Eukaryota; Viridiplantae; Chlorophyta; Ulvophyceae; Trentepohliales; Trentepohliaceae. The record is from RNAcentral.
GCCCUUUUCAUCUAGUGGCCAAGGAUUCUACUUUUUCAUAGUAGUUACAUGGGUUCAAAUCCCAUAAAGGGUA